This 512-nucleotide ribosomal RNA is filed under the name uncultured bacterium. RNAcentral's name for it is "bacterial SSU rRNA". It matches the Rfam family "Bacterial small subunit ribosomal RNA", at positions 791 to 1293 of the family's 1533-position model. The record is from RNAcentral.
UAGUCCACGCCGUAAACGAUGAGUGCUAGUUGUUGGGAUGUUUACAUCUCGGUGACGUAGCUAACGCGUUAAGCACUCCGCCUGGGGAGUACGGCCGCAAGGCUAAAACUCAAAUGAAUUGACGGGGGCCCGCACAAGCGGUGGAGCAUGUGGUUUAAUUCGAAGCAACGCGAAGAACCUUACCAGCUCUUGACAUACCUAUCGCAGUCUCCAGAGAUGGAGACCUUCAGUUCGGCUGGAUAGGAUACAGGUGCUGCACGGCUGUCGUCAGCUCGUGUCGUGAGAUGUUGGGUUAAGUCCCGCAACGAGCGCAACCCUCGCCCUUAGUUGCCAGCAUUUAGUUGGGCACUCUAGGGGGACUGCCGGUGAUAAGCCGGAGGAAGGUGGGGGACGACGUCAAGUCAUCAUGGCCCUUACGGGGCUGGGGCUACACACGUGCUACAAUGGCGGUGACNGAGGGGCAGGCCACUCCGCGAGGGAGGGAGGCUAAUCCCUAAAAACCGGUCUCAGUU